This 119-nucleotide ribosomal RNA is filed under the name Pteropus alecto (black flying fox). Lineage: Eukaryota; Metazoa; Chordata; Mammalia; Chiroptera; Pteropodidae. The record is from RNAcentral.
GUCUACGGCCAUGCUACCCUGAACAAGCCCUAUCCGCUCUGAUCUCGGAAGCUAAGCAGGGUUGGGCCCGGUUAGUACUUGGAUAGGAGACCACCUUGGAAGACCAGGUGUUGUAGGUG